GGCUUAGGUUCCGGCGACAUGGUGAGUGUCUGCGUUACUGCUUUGGAAGUCGCUAUCCGUCCGCAUCUGCCGUUCUCUGUGGUUUUCCGCGCUCACCCGUCUGGGGCAGCCUCUGCUGUCCCCUGUGCCGUCGGCUGUCGGGGUCCUCGCCGCGUCUGGCGCCCCGGAGGCCGCGACUGGAGCCCCGGAGGCGGCUCGGCGGGACUCGGCCCAGCUCGGCAGUGAAUGCGCGCUGCGGAGCCCCUGCUCACCCCGUGCACGCUGCUUUUGCGGGCUAAACGCACAAAGAAGGUCGGGAUCGUAGGGGAAAUACGGGACCCGCUAUGGUGCCUCCCUCCGGAAAUGGUGAAAGAAAAUUGAAAUCAGCCAGCACGCCAAGUACACGUGCUCUUUCUGUGGCAAGGUAGGUUGGCCUCGGGAGGGGUGUAUUGCUUGUCACCCAAGGUGGUUUGUAAGCGGUGGGCCGGUAUAAGAUAGGGGGUUUGGGGUUAGUUUUUGCGAAGCAUUCCUCGUUUAUGUGGAUAUGCCGAAGGAUUAAUUGGUUCUAGAGAGGGAAAAGGCACAACCUGAACGACUCAGUGAGAAAUGACUGUUAGCAUCUGUACUGUGCCAUCUAUCUAGUCUGCAUCUAAUUGUCCUACUUGGAUUCUUAGGAUUUGUCUGCUUAGCAGACAAGUGGCUUUUGUUUGUUUGUUUACGUAGUUUAGGCUCUGAAAACUUUAGAGAUUUAUGUUUUUACGUAUUCAUAUCGCGACCUUUUAAAUAUUUCCAGACCAAGAUGAAGAGACGAGACGUUGGCAUCUGGCACUGUGGUUCCUGCAUGAAAACAGUGGCUGGCGGGGCCUGGAACCUACAAGUGAGUGGUUUCUUUGUGCUGUGGGAAAGUGUGUGGACCACACAGCCCAUGCUCCAAGUCGUGGCACAUACUGGACUAGUUUAAUAUUUAUGAAUGGAGAAGUAAAUAUGAUUUAGGGCCACUUUUGGUUAAAAUUGGAAAGCUCUUAGAAGUGAGAGUUGGGAUUUGAUUCAUGUAUUGCUUUGAAUUGUACAGUCUCUGUGGGUCUGUUACUGAUAUCCUUGUUUGCUCAACCUUGGCUGACAAAUUAUUUCUUUUUUUUCUGUCUUAUGUUUUUUAUUGCUCUGAAGAGACACUAUGACUAUGACCAAGACAACUUUUACAAAUGAGAACAAUUCAUUGAAGGGGCUUGCUUAUAGUUCAGAGGUUCAGUCCAUUAUCAGGGCAGUGAGCAUGCUGGCAUGCAGGCAAAGAUGGUGCUGGAGGACUGUCUGAGUCUCACAUCUCACAGAACUGACAAGUUAUUUCUAUAAAAUAGUUUUGGAAUGAGAUUAGUUAGUUUGGGAUUGCAUAGGAAAAUUUGAGGCUAUUUGGGCUGGCACACCUUUAUCAACAAGCUUUGAACACACUUAGUGGUGUGGCCCUGACAGGGCAGGAUGGUGCUGCUGAGGGAGGUGAAGCCUUCUGGCAUUUGCUUGUCCUAGUCUUGCUGUGCUGGCCCCGAGGUCCCUAGAGUCUGGGUAGUGUGAUGUGUGGCUGGUGCUGAGGAGCAUGGCAAAAGAAGCAAGAGUAGAGUAAAAUAGAAUCUGUGCUCCAGCUGCUUGACUUGAGGGUGUGCGUCUUGAAACUUGUGGUCUGCCUUUGCUAUACUAUCUUCAAAGGAAAGUACCUUAAGAUAUUUGUAAGAAGUCAGGUGUAGAAGGACGUUAGGAUUCUUCAAGUGCCUGAAGUCGUGGUUUUUAAGGUUUGCCAUCAUGCCAGUGUGACUUCUGAGCACUAGUCCUUAGGUCUUGGGAGUCACUACAACGUGGUAUAAUUCUUUCCAGGAGAAAGUCAGACUUGUGUUUCACGUGUUAGCCUGCUUAAUUGAGUUGGAACCUUUUCUUUACAGCACGACUUCUGCCGUCACAGUGAAGUCCGCCAUCAGAAGACUGAAGGAACUGAAGGACCAGUAGAAGUGCUAGCAUUUGAUACCCAAGCCUACUCGAUAAUGCACAGCCAACUAAAUAAAUGGGUUAAUUUACAUGACA
This is a long non-coding RNA of Arvicola amphibius (Eurasian water vole), 2046 nucleotides long. RefSeq lists it as uncharacterized. NCBI's taxonomy places the organism in Eukaryota, Metazoa, Chordata, Mammalia, Rodentia, Cricetidae. The transcript is spliced from 2 exons. The record is from RefSeq and is a predicted model, not a curated record.